GGGAUCAUAGUUAAUAAUAACAUUUGAGUUGCAUUCAAAAAGUACUUACCCAAAAGUUGAUCUCA
This 65-nucleotide transfer RNA is filed under the name Schedorhinotermes breinli. RNAcentral describes it as "tRNA-Ala". Lineage: Eukaryota; Metazoa; Arthropoda; Insecta; Blattodea; Rhinotermitidae. The record is from RNAcentral.